This 74-nucleotide transfer RNA is filed under the name Sphingorhabdus lacus. RNAcentral's name for it is "tRNA-Gln". It matches the Rfam family "tRNA". Rfam says of the family: Transfer RNA (tRNA) molecules are approximately 80 nucleotides in length. Lineage: Bacteria; Pseudomonadati; Pseudomonadota; Alphaproteobacteria; Sphingomonadales; Sphingorhabdaceae. RNAcentral also lists the same sequence under 20 other names. The record is from RNAcentral.
UCCCCGGUCGUCUAACGGUAAGACUACGGACUCUGACUCCGUCUAUUGAGGUUCGAAUCCUUACCGGGGAACCA